RNAcentral lists this ribosomal RNA (301 nucleotides) under uncultured bacterium. RNAcentral's name for it is "partial 16S ribosomal RNA". It matches the Rfam family "Bacterial small subunit ribosomal RNA", at positions 509 to 807 of the family's 1533-position model. The record is from RNAcentral.
CAGUAGCCGCGGUAAUACAGAGGGUGCAGGCGUUAAUCGGAUUUACUGGGCGUAAAGGGCGCGUAGGUGGUUAUUUAAGUGAGAUGUGAAAGCCCCGGGCUUAACCUGGGAACUGCAUCUUAUACUGGGUAACUGGAGUGCAGUAGAGGGCAGUGGAAUUUCCGGUGUAGCGGUGAAAUGCGUAGAUAUCGGAAGGAACACCAGUGGCGAAGGCGGCUACCUGGACUGAGACUGACACUGAGGCGCGAGAGCGUGGGGAGCAAACAGGAUUAGAUACCCGCGUAGUCCCUGUCUCUUAUAC